GUGAGGGAGGCGUGGUUUGUGACAAUGACACUGAGAGCUUAGACCCUACAGCCCCAGAGUCCUCUUCCGUCCUUUCCCCUUCCUGCCUGCCCCCCUCCCUCCUUCUAGCUCCUCCCCAGACCCAGGUCCAGAAGGCAACUCUCUUGGUUUCCUAGAAAGGGUGAAUAAGAAGGCUCAAUUAAAAAAAACAAAAACAAAAAGAGUCACCCAUUUAACCAUUCCAUUGCCCUGAAAACCUAAGGCACAAAUUAUCUGAUAACCCCCAUGGUCUCCUCCUUGGCUGUACUUUGAAAUCUCCAGUAAUGAUGCUUGGGUUCCAAUCUCAGAGAGUCUCAUUUAAUUGUUCAGGAGUGUGUCCUGGGCUCUGGAUUUUUUCUUGAUCAGAUCCAUCAUAUUCAAUGGGCUCCGGGUUAUUAAAAGCUCCCCAGGUGAUUCCACUGUCAGCCGGGUCUGAGAAAAUGGCUUCACCUGGUCGGCACCUGCUCAUCCUUCAGCGACGCUUGUCUCCUGAUGCUUUCCCGUCCCCCGGCUGCUCUCCACACACCUCCAUCACAGGCCUGUCACACUAGGCUGCACACACAGAGCAGCCUCCAGCUCUCACCUUUGUAUCCUUAGCACCUAGCUCAGGAUACUAAAAUACAUGUUAAAUAAGCAAAUGAAAGCCGCCCUAGCCUUCCCAUAACCUGUCUUCUAAGGGUGUCUCAUAUGAGCCUCAGCCACCUUCGGCACAUGGCAUCGAUCCUGUUCUCUUCCUCAGGCUGCCCACAGGAUUCCACUGGAAACAGACUCUCCUCUCCCCACACUGCCGACCAGCACGGAACCUUUGCCGCUUUUCUUUGCGUUAGCCCAGGCAGGUAAGACAUGUUUUCCUGGCCCUCUGCUCUCCUCACCAUUCCUAGUUAACAGCUGGGUAAAGAAGUCCUUGGACUUGCUGUGGAGCCCUCCCUGCUUUCUGGGGAGCCUGCACUGGGAGGCUGGGUGCUUGGAGAGAAUUUGUGAGGAAGGAAUAGGAUGUGGGAGAGGUUAGGGUCUCUAGGUUCGGAGAAGAAAAAAGGCAGCGAGUGAAGUGUGGGAGCCUCAGGAGGCCUGCCUGAGUCUCUUAGCUCCUCCUAGCCACGGUUCCUCAUCUGAAGACGGGGCUUGAACCAGUUAACAGGUCCAAUGGCCAUUUCGGCGACAUUCCCAUGCUCAAAUGCUGGAAUCGUAAGGCGUGAACUGCAAGGAUUUAGAGACAGGUAAAUGGUCAAGGAAAUAGACAAAAUGGGGCAAAAAAGAAGGCCCCAGCUUCCCGGUUUUUGUUUUAGGACUUGAAGAAGCUUGGGUCUUCAGCCUCCAGGGCAAGUCUAGGGUUUUGAGCCCGGAAAUCUGUGUUUGGAGGAAACCUCGAGCCAGUGACUGCCUACCUGUAGCAACGAAGGGAAAGUGUUACAGCCCGGGGGACAGCCAUGGCGAAUCUCCUCCCAGACCCUGACAACACAGAACCUGGCAGAGCCUGUCAGGAAGUGGAAGUCGGCACUGAUUUAUACAUCUCACUCGAUUCAGCUGAUUAAAUCCCCCUUGGCGUCUCCUCCAGAGCUGCCUUUUUUUACUCUCCUGGGUUGUCUCUGGCCCAAGAGCUGGAGGAGUAUUUCCUAUAAAUAAGCAGCGCCAGGAGGAGAGGAGCCAAGCACGCCCUCCUCCCACCCACCUGCCGCACGGGCCUCCUGGUGUGGCUCCUCCGGGUGGGUGGGGCGAUGGAGGCCUUGCUUCUAUUCUGAGCUCACCUCUGCUGCUGUGACCUUGGGGAACAGAGGGGGCAGCUCUUGCCUUGGCUUCCCCUUCCUGGGGCCCCGUGGGAGCCGCCUAGCCCGUGAAGCUUAUACUUUGAGCAGAGCUCUUGGCCUUUCUGUUCCUGCAGUCGCAGUCUAAAAUGGAGUCUGCCAUGCAGAAGCCUAGAAACUGGAAGAGCCCCUGGAAGCCACACAUUUCCCCUCCCUGAAGUACAAAUAAGGCACUGAGGUUUAGAGAUGCCUGGGACUUCCCAAGGCCACACAGCCCGUUAGCAGCCAGAGGACUAGAACACAGAUCUCCUUCACCCACAAAUGCCCCCUACACCGGUUCUGGGCUGCAAAUGCUCCUUGAAUCCUGCAGGUCAACCAAUCAUCAUUGCAGGCAAGGUGAACAGAUAAAAACAACUAAAACUCAGAAGUCCAGAAGCAGCGUGGGCACUGGAGGAAAGGCAAUCUCGUCACCACCCUUCUGUGGGCCUCAUCUCCUUAUGUAUACAGUGCAUGUGACACCGGGACCCUCAACGCCUGAGUUUUCAGCGAUGAGACUGCUCUGAGUUUGAGUUCUCCUUGUUCCAACAUCCCAGCCUACCAUUCUCAUGGUGUGUAAACCGUGCUGAUAUUAUAUUUGAAGCUGAAGCAAACUCGGAAGGAAGACAGCCGUGGUGUCCCCAAGCCUCUGGAAACUGCCUGAGGCCUGGGAAUCAGAUGAAAACCAACACGCCGGGCUCCAUGGGCACCCCUGGAAGCGGCCCCACUCCUGUUCCUUGUGUGCUGUUGAUUGAGACUCAGAAGCAGGAGCCUCUCAGGAGGGGCAGAGCAAGGCAGGGCUUUGGGUUUGGAAUGGCAGAGAACUGGUGCCUCCCGAGCACCAUCCUCUGGGCCAGCUGCAACACCCUGGAACUGCGACUGCCACUCAUUCUUCACAGACCUCAGUGGUCCCCAGGGGAGUUUUACUCCAAAUUGCAUUUGGAACAGCAGAAAGAUGACUUGUUCCAAAGGAAGGCCUUACUAAGAAACGAUGAGAAGCUGUGGAAUGACUUUUGGAAGUGGGGGGUGCAGGGGCCCACAUGAAUGCACAGCGGUCUCACGUCAGCCCAGGAAGAGCUGUCUGUCCCUGUGAGCCACCGUGCUUCAUUUUUAAUAGGGAAAGGGCUUGAACUGCCCUGGGAAACUCAAGGAAGACUUCAUUUCCACUCAAGGAAGGAAUUCCUGGAAGAAACCAGAAUGGGACAAAGACAUGAAGGAGUGAAGGAGAUAAAUGACAGAAAAGUUUCUGUUUAA
Molecule: long non-coding RNA, 3050 nt
Filed under: Homo sapiens (human)
Lineage: Eukaryota; Metazoa; Chordata; Mammalia; Primates; Hominidae
Description: HSALNT0365591
Source: RNAcentral